This 352-nucleotide ribosomal RNA is filed under the name uncultured bacterium. RNAcentral describes it as "bacterial SSU rRNA". It matches the Rfam family "Bacterial small subunit ribosomal RNA", at positions 29 to 380 of the family's 1533-position model. The record is from RNAcentral.
AUUGAACGCUGGCGGAAUGCUUUACACAUGCAAGUCGAGCGGCAGCGCGGGGCAACCUGGCGGCGAGCGGCGAACGGGUGAGGUAAUGCAUCGGAACGUACCCAGUUGUGGGGGAUAACUGUCCGAAAGGACGAGCUAAUACCGCAUACGUCCCGAGGGAGAAAGCGGGGGGAUCGCAAGACCUCGCGCGAUUGGAGCGGCCGAUGCCGGAUUAGCUAGUUGGUAGGGUAAAGGCCUACCAAGGCGACGAUCCGUAGCUGGUCUGAGAGGACGACCAGCCACACUGGAACUGAGACACGGUCCAGGACUCCUACGGGAGGCAGCAGUGGGGAAUUUUGGACAAUGGGGGCAA